This 534-nucleotide ribosomal RNA is filed under the name Triticum aestivum (bread wheat). RNAcentral describes it as "partial small subunit ribosomal RNA". The record is from RNAcentral. Lineage: Eukaryota; Viridiplantae; Streptophyta; Magnoliopsida; Poales; Poaceae.
AUGGAGACCUGCCCGUCGGUGAAGAACAUUCUGUUGCUGGACUCCGAGGGGAAGCGCGUCGCCGUCAAGUACUACACGGAUGAUUGGCCCGUGCUCUCGGCGAAGCUGGCCUUCGAGAAGUCGGUCUUCGUCAAGACCCAGAAAGCAAGUUCUGGAGCAGAGGCUGAGAUUGUAAUGUUUGAUGGUCAAAUUGUUGUAUAUAAGUUUAUCCAAGACCUGCAUUUUUUUGUUACUGGAGGAGACGAGGACAAUGAACUUAUUUUAGCAUCAGUUCUUCAGGGAUUCGCUGAUGCUAUUGACAUUAUUCUCAGAAAUAAUGUCGACAAAAGAACAGCUCUUGAAAAUCUGGAUCUAAUCCUAUUAUGCCUUGAUGAAAUUGUUGAUGGAGGGGUUGUCCUAGAAACAGAAGGAAGUGUGAUAGCUGAAAAGGUACUAGCUCAUGGAGCAGAGGGUGCCACAUCAAUCGCCGAGCAGACUAUAGUUCAGGCCCUAACAACGGCAAGAGAGCACUUUGCCAAAUCUCUGCUUAUGUGA